This 71-nucleotide transfer RNA is filed under the name Narcetes shonanmaruae. RNAcentral's name for it is "Alepocephalidae sp. MK-2017 tRNA-Ile". It matches the Rfam family "tRNA". From Rfam's summary of the family: Transfer RNA (tRNA) molecules are approximately 80 nucleotides in length. Their secondary structure includes four short double-helical elements and three loops (D, anti-codon, and T loops). Lineage: Eukaryota; Metazoa; Chordata; Actinopteri; Alepocephaliformes; Alepocephalidae. The record is from RNAcentral.
GGAAUUGUGCCCGAAAUCCAAGGACCAUUUUGAUAGAAUGUCACAUGAGGGUUAAAAUCCCCCCAAUUCCU